ACCCCUUCUCAUUUUUAUCCUUCAUAUCACUUUUGGGCUUCAACGAAGAUGAUUCACAGUGUGGUUUCAAACUAGAGUACCAUAUUCAGGCGUAGAUCUUAUUCAGUCAUGGCUCUGGACUGUUACCCAGUCAGAAGUCGAUAGAAAUUUCUGACAUUUUAAAUCAAACGUGUGAUGUGGUUAAACGUCUUGAAACAGAAUGGUCCCGUACUAAGUAUGUAUGCUUGCUGAGGAGAUAAAUUCUUUGUCAUAUCUCUUCAUCACUCCAUGUUCUUAUGCACUGGUUUUUGUAUUUUUAAGCUGUUUUUUUGGGGUUUCAGUCCCCUUUUCGAUAGGUCCAUCUACUGCAGGUCUUGUGUAACUGGAAAACUGCAUUGCCAUCUGCAUUCCUUGGAUACACUUCUAGAAUAAAAGUUGGUUUUACAUUUGCCAUAAAUGUUGCGUAAUGCAGUUAUACCAAUGACUUGUCAGCAUUAAGUGUUAACUAACAUCUUUUUCAUUUCAGAUUCAUUCUUAAAAUUCGGUAAAAAAAAAAAAGAUUAAGGAAAAGUAUUUUGUAUCCAAAAAGAUGUACCAAAAGAGUUUCGCAGUUGUGAAUGUAUGGGCUUUUUACGAAGUUAUCAUUAACCUGUAGAACCGUCAGAGAAUAUAAACACUAUACAUGAUUACAGAUAUUAACAUAGCAAAGGUAUCCUAGUAUCAUGGCAUGGCAUUGCAUACAUCAUGUUGCAGUAUUUCUUACAACAAUCAGAUGGGUUUCACGUGUCUUAGCAUCUCCUUAGUAACAACCUAAGUUAUAUAUCUUUGUCUCUGCUUAUUAUUUUAAUUCAUGAUAGUGAAGUUGAAUGAUAUAUUCUAAGUAUGAUUUUGUUUCUGAAUCUCACAUAAAUUCAACUCUUUCUCAAACUUGGGUUUUUGUCGGAUUUCAGUUUAAGUUUGUAGAACUAGAUUCAGAUUCAUCAUUGUUGGGUUUUGGUUUGUUAGCGCAAACCUGGCGAUUGUGAGCUCCUGGAUGAAUAUAUUUGAACAUGACCUCUUCUAAAGAGAGGGACAGAUCCUUCAUCUUUAGGAUCAGAGUUCAGGUAUAGAGCUUGCUUGAGAACUAUAAAGUUGCACAGAUUAUAGAUUUGAUCAGAGUUCAACGUAAUCGGCUACUGACAAAAGAGUCUGAAUCUAUGAAUCUAUGAAUCAAGCCAGUAAACUACAAUCGUAAAUGUUGAUUUUUUUUGUUUGUAGUUGAUGUAGAAACCAGAUAAACAAGUUAAACAAGUAAGGGUUUGUGUGUUUUGCUGGUUGUUAUAAUAACAUAUUUGAUCUUUAAGAAGGGAUAUGAGUAUAAGAUUGUUAUAACAUGUUUCGCUGGUUACUAUAACAUGUUUCGGUUGAUAGCAUUUGGUUAUUCGACAAUGUUUUAUAGAUUGAUUGAUGUGAUUUUGCUUAUGUACACUUUGGAUUUUUUUAAUUUGAAUUCUAGAAUGAUAUUGUAUCUGUCUUUGUCAUAUUAGUAGAAAUAAGUAUUCUCUCAAGUAUCAUUUAGAAGUACACCUAAUAAACAAGUCAUAUGUACUUUAGUGUCUACAUGGGGAGGAAUCCACCACAUCAUCACAAGUGGUGCUGGAACAUGUAGAAGAAAAUGUGGAUGUUGAUAAUGUAUAUGUAGAAAAUUUAGAGGAGGAAAUUUCUGUUGAGGAACAUGUAUAAGAGAACAUUAGCUAUGAACAAUGUAGGUUAGGAGAUUUUGUCGAUAAUGCCUAUUGAGUAUUUGAAGGGUUAAAUAAGGAUGUAAAUGAAGGUAGUAAGCGAAAAAGGGGUACCACCGUCAACAACAAAGAAGUGGUUAUACGGGCAUUUAAGAUGUGAUGGGACUGUCCAUCCUAGUGCACUUGAAUAGUGGCAAAGUAUCAAGGGCUCUAGAGAGGAACAAAGGAAAAGGAGAUCAGUCAAGUUCUAGUAAUGUGGUUUCAGCUGAAUUAGAGGAGGUGUUUGGAAGAAAACAAGGUGGUGGGAUUCGUGGAUACUCAUCCCAUAUGUCGAAGAAGCAAGUUGGAAUGGAAGCAAUUGCAUAUUAUAAUGUCCGGCUCACAAGGACCCUGCCAAGAACAGCUAAUAACUUCUGGAAAAACAAAAAAAAAAUUUAUCCUCCAUCUCUGCGUAAACGAUCUAGCAUUAAUAUUCUCAACCUCCUGAUGACUAGUGUCUGACAUUUUAAAUCUAACAUCCUGGACAAUGAGAAAACUCACAGCAUCAGCAGAAGCAAAUUGAGAUCUAAAUAAUCUAUUGUUUCUUUCUCUCCACGUAUGAUAGAUAUAACUAUUGAGUAACAACUUCUUAACUGUAGAAACAUAGCUUCUCCCUUUAAAAGCAUUAAUGCACCAGGCUACUUCUU
Molecule: long non-coding RNA, 2386 nt
Organism: Papaver somniferum (opium poppy)
Lineage: Eukaryota; Viridiplantae; Streptophyta; Magnoliopsida; Ranunculales; Papaveraceae
Exons: 2
Source: RefSeq, a predicted model, not a curated record